Molecule: long non-coding RNA, 6952 nt
Organism: Columba livia (rock pigeon)
Lineage: Eukaryota; Metazoa; Chordata; Aves; Columbiformes; Columbidae
Exons: 4
Source: RefSeq, a predicted model, not a curated record
CUCCUCCCAUUUGCGUGGAGCAGUAUCGAAGUGCAAAUGUCCUGAGUGGAUGAUAGAAUUACACCCAAGGUAUUCAUUAAAGAAGGUUCUGUAGAAGAAGAGUCACAUUAAAACUUCGCUCAAAUAAUCCCUGGAGGGGAUUACUGGAGGAACACCUGCUCAAAUGCUGUUCAACCAGCAAAAUGGUGAUCAUGUCCACUAGACAAUUAAUUUGACAACUUUUUCAAUAAUUUAUCUAGUGCGGGUGGUACUUCAUCGCUUGGCAGUGGAAAAUCACACCUCAGCCUAUUGCCUCAUCAAACCUGAAUCUGUGAGAAAGCCCUUAUACAGUACCCAACCCAAAAAAGGAACAAAGGAAACACAUCUGCAGCAGAGCUGUGGUGAUGGAGAGAGGACUAAUACGACCUACACAGGUUGCAAGGACAUUCGGAGAUCCUGAAGGACAAUCCAGAUAUUAAGAGGUGUUUCUGGGGCCACAAGGCAAAGUUGGGUGCAACUGACAACCAGGCUGAAGAGACCUAUCGAGCAAUGCAAUAUAGUUCAUCAUGGUCUGAACACUAGGAAAGAAGACAUCUGGCUAGUUGGUGAAGAUUCAUAGUGGUGAGAGAUCCACCAUCAGACAUCUGUCAGAUUUUGAAUUUCUGUGCUUAAAAUGCACCCAACCUGAAAGUGGGGUCUAUUAGUGAGAACUAUUACAUACACUUUUGUAACUGUCCCCUGUCCCAUUCUACUGCAAUUUUUUUUCUGCUCUGUUUCCAUGGAAAUGGGAGUGAGAGGAUCAGACAUAUGAUAGAAGCAAUUGUUUUAAAGGUCCUUGAAAGGCUUUGCUAUUCCCUGACCUAAUUUUUUUCUGAGAAUGGAAGUGAGAAUGAAAGCUAGACACUUUUUGUUAUCUUUGGUGGUAUUUGAUUUGGGUCUAUAAUCCCAGAAAGUCAGGAAAUGCCAUUUUCCUUCCUUUUGCCCCUGGAAGAAGACUGUUCUUGGGGGAAAGUGACAUAAUGGGCAGCCCUGGGGUCUACUCCUGAACACAUUAGCACGGUCCUCUCAUGUCACAUGCCAUGUGAUAUGGCUAUGCAGUGCCUAAAAGGCCCAGCCUGAAACAAAGGCUCUACAUACCUGGCAAUGGAGCUUCAAAUCUAAAAAGUGUAUUUUUCCAGUAUGAAGUGGGAGGACUAUUUUCCUUGGGGAUGUUUUGAGGAUAACUACAGUUGUGUUUGGAAAGUACUUUCAGAUCCGCUACUUGAAACUGCUCUAGAUAGACAGUAUUUGCCUUGUUGCUACUACUAAGCAGAGGUAAGAUAAAAGUAUUAGACUGCUCUCUUUUGAUGAUUUUCUCCCAUUUUAUUGUCAUGCUGCUAGCUUCCAUUUCCAUGGAAACAGAGCAGAGAGGCCAUUUGUAGCAAUAUGCAAGCUAUGGUUGGGAAUGACACACGUAGAUUUUAGCUGCUGGAUGUCGACCAAUAGCUACAAAAAUGAAGGCACAGUACAAGACAAAUGACAACAGGGAAAGGGAUGGACAAAGGAAAGGAAACCCAAAGAUAUCAAAGCUGAUGAAGACUCCUUCCUCGUAAAGGUUAUGGACAUUGUGUGUCUUCCCUCUUUGUUAUUACCUUCAGUUUCCAGGGCUAUACUUAGACUUGGCCUCCUUGCUAUUAUUUCUGUUAUCAUUAGGUGAUAUUUUGUUGCCAUGGUGCCUGAAGGCCCCAGAAAAUCUGAGUCCCUCCUGUGCUAGAACCAUGCAAACUUGGAGCAAGAGAUAAUUCCAUAGUGGGAAGGAGAAAAAAGUGCUGGAAAGGUAAAAUGAUCUGGCUGUCGUCACACAUACAGGCCAGCGACAGAGCCGAAGGUGCUCUCUUAUCUGGAGCUUGUUGCAGAGCUUCUCCCAGUUUGCUCACUGCUUGCGGUGCCAGGGCUGAGGGAGACGUCUUUGCCACCUCUUCCUCCAGUGCUUUCUGUGCUCCUUCUGAACCUGAGAUUUCCUUCCAGAUACUGCCUCUCCUGCCUGCAUAUUAAUUUUGAGUUGCUCUUCUGAACACCAUGCCUACAGCAGCCUACAGACCACUUCUUCACUAGCUCUUUUACCUAUACUACUGUGUUCCUCCACACAGCACUGCUCAGACUUCUCUGUCAAAGCCAGUGUGAAAGAGCCAUCUUUCCCUCUCCCCAGUGCAUACUAAACCUCACCUGUCUGCCCGAGCCACCUAUAGUCCUUCAGAGACAAGAUUUUCCUGUGAAUUUAUUUUUUCUUGGAAGCUGCUGGUCAAACUGUUCCUUCUCUUGAAAGUAGUGAGGCGUUGUAAUAGCAGGGCAAUUCUCUGAUCUCCAACUCACAGUUAUGGAUUUCACCUUUGAAUUGCUCAGCCUGAUAACACUCCACCUUUCCACUGAAUCCUGAAAUCAGUCAUCCUCUUUGCUAUCAGAGAGGUUGUCUGGGUUUUCUUCUUUGCUAUCAAGUAUCCUAAUUAGGGGCCAUAAGUCUCCUAAGGACACCACUAUUUCUGAGUGGAAAUUUAUGGUGGAAUUAUUACAUUUCAAUUACUUCAUUUUAAAUGAGGUCUGUCUAAAAUUUAUGAUAUCAAACAAACUUUUAUUGUUCACAAGGCAACAGGAUCAUAACCUUAUUGGAAAAUACUGAUAAGUGAGGAAGGUAUUUGACACUGGUUGCACUGGGUCACUAAGAUAUACAACCUGUAACUCACCUGCAUUGCAGGAAGCACAGUGCUGUUGCAGGGAGAGGGGACACAGGAUGAACAACCCAAAGGCAAGUCUCCUAAGGCAGAACCAAACUUAUCUUUCUGAUGAUGUGGGAAAGGACUAUAUGUGGGUCAAACAGAAGGAAGGACUUGUGCUUUGGAGAUUUCAGUAUAUAUGCUAAAGUCUUGAUCAGGCCGAAGAGAUAUGAGCUAUGAAUUAUUCUACUACCACAGCUGACUACAGCCUCUGCUCCAAAAGCACGGGAAUAGCAGGACAAGGGGCAUUACUGUGAAGGCCACUUUUCUUGUGAAAGUUGCAUUAAAGUCUGUGUUUUUGGAGGAACUGCAAUCAGUGUGCUCGUUUAGCAUUUCUGUUUGAAUACUCUCCAAGCUAAGUAAGAUCCAAAUAAUGUGUGUAUGUGUCCCUGCCCUUGUUUCUUCAUUGAAAUUCAUUGUACUUUCAGGGUCUAUGUAUGACCCUUUUCAGCCUAAGAAUGAGAAGACUGAAGCGCCCUAAGUAUACAGCCCAACCCAAAAGCUUAUUGUUCUGUAACUGCUUGAACAGGUAAGUAUCCAGUCUUUCUCUGGGUGUCAAGGAAGGUUUAGUUUUCAUAAUAUUGGGGCAGAUGGCAUAAAAGCUCCUAAAAGCAGGUAAGCUAAGAACCUCACGCAUCAGUGUGUCACAUUAAAGAAUUAAUUUGGUUUAUCACAAAACAAUUCUAGUAGGUUAGAUUUUUUCUUUUUUGUGUGCAUGUGUGUUUGUGUAUUUUAUUUAUUUAGUGCACCAGGGCUCCUUUAAUCAUUUGAUCUUCUUUAUAUACUUUCCAAUAAGAAGAGAAGCUCAGAGACUUUUAGGACAUUUUAUACUACAGGGAGAAUAAAUAAAGGGCUGUGAAUUCAUUUUAUGAUACAGCACUAUUCUCUUCAUACCUUGAAACUCAACAGAGCAACAGCUCUUUUCUCUCUGUUAGCCUCUUCUUCCAUCUUCAGCCUACCAUAAAUCCCUUCAUUGCUUCACAGCUGAAGUGUACCCUGCUGGAAUGUUGUCUCCACCCUGGAGCACCUAAAAGCUGAUAAGGAAUUACAGCUAAGUACCAACAAGAAGUGUUAUCACUGGAGUACAAGCUGUCCCAAAAUCAUUCCUGCAGAAAAAAACUCAGGUUUAAACAUGAAAAAGGAAAAUAAAACAGAAGGCAUGGAAAACAUUAUUAGAUUCAGACAUCCUCCAAAUGUUCCCCACAUCCCCAAAUGGAUGUGUCAACAGCAGGGAGAUGUCUCAGUUCUGCCUUUGCAGCAGCUAAAUUCCUUCCCACACCCCAGGCGGACCAACCUCUACAUCCACUUGUCAGCCCUCAGUGCUUCCCAGUCCCUCCAGAAAUCAGGUUUGCACAACGUCAGGGACUCCCAGACAUGUGUCAGGCAUCCCUGGCACUGCAGAAGCCCUUUCCAUGUGGGAGCAACCAUACCAAAAGCACAUCAGAGGAUAUGUUUCCCCUUCUUCCAGAUUUCAGCACAUUAACAGAGCCAGGCAUCAGGGAAGUGCUGAGAGAAAUCAGAGUCACCACAUGUAAGUCAAACCCAUUCCAGCCAUAGCUGACGGAAAAUACCUACGAGCACCAUUACUGACAGAGACUGUCAACACUGCCAUGAAGAGUGUCUCACUGGUUCUCCUAAACCAGACCUUGUCAUGUACUGGGAACACUUUUUGGAUCUGACUGAUCCUGCAUAUUAUGCUUGGCUCCAAAGCACUUCUGAGUAACAGGAUUAUGAAGUAAACAGAUAAAUAUUUUCUUUUCAAUCUUUUGACCACCAGGCAAGCCCCUGAGACUAAUUCAUGAUGUUGCAACAUGUUUGGUAACACUUACAGAUUAGCAUCUACAUAUAGUCUAGAAAAAAAAUCAGUGUUUUCUCAGGAGAUUUGAUACCCAUCUUAGUUCAGAAAUUCUUUGUGUGGCUGGAGAAAAAACUUUUGAUAGAGAUUAGUUCUGAUUAGCACCAAAAUAAUGGGAAGGGAGUGAACUCUGAGCAAAGAUGAAAUUGAAUAAAAAAUACCUCAGUAACAAACCCUGUAUAAGAGCAAAUAACCUCAUGGUGUGUCUCUACAUCAAAGGAGUUUGCUCCUGCAGCAUCCAAUAGAUUACUAUUCAGCAGGGUGUCUGGUUCCUCCAGGCUGUUUUGCCUGAGCUAAAGACUGGGCAUUAACUGAGCAUUAGAUUCAGCAGAAGAGCUGUGAGCACUGAGUGCUUCACUUCUAAUAGCAACCCCAAAUGCAUUUAACACCCAGCAUCUGGAAGCAGGCAAACAGAAACUAUCCUAGGGUAGCAUACAAGAGACUUUUAUUCCACUUCUUCACUGUCUCACCAUGUAGUGGAUGUGCCACAGGGUGGCGAAGCAAAAGGUUCAUGGAAAUGUAGAUGACUUAAUCAUUUUGUGUAUGCCUAAUGUAGAUGACUUCAUCCUGCAAAAUAACUGAAGCCAGCAGAAAAUUUUAGCUAGAAGAAGAGGCUCCUGAAUACAGUCAUUACAAGACAAAUGACAUUUGACAGAUAAGUUAUUUAUUUUGUGCUUCCUUAAAAAUCUUUUCCCUUAUAGUCCCCAGACUUUCCAUGGAAGAACCUAGUGGCAAGCAGAAGUAGUAAGAGGAAAGAAAACCCUUCCAUCAGGAAUGUUUUACUUUCUUGGAGUUAUUUUCCACCAAUUGUUCCUAGAGUACAAAGAUACAGUAUUGCAUUCUUUCUACUAGCUUGGGACCUUGGCUAAGUCUCUUUCUUUUAGACCACAGAAAUCACCAGGGCUCACAUGUACAUGCGUGAAUAAAAGGCAUUAUUUGCAAUCAAGCCAUGUCCAAAUAUUUUCCUCCUUAGCACACUCAAUGAGAAACGAAAGCAAAACACGAAGAAGAGAGUGUGCCCCAGAAACUGAAAAGACAUUGCUGUUAAUUCACAUGCCAGUGGAUCCUCAGACUACAGCCUCUCACAGCCAGAUCAGUUGUGAUGGCUCUUAUUAUGGCCUCUUCUGCAUAGUGAAUCUAACCUCUGAGGAGCUUAUACACCCUGGAAAUGAACAUCACCUCUUUGUGGCAGAAGGAGGGGAAACGGUGAUCCUCUUGUCAUCUUCUCAUUCCUUGCCUGCUUCUGAUCUGAAUAGAUAAAUGUGUAGACAGAUUUGCACAGUACCCAGAGAGAGGUCAGGCACAGUUUAUUGCAUAGAGCCAGAAAGAGCUGCUUGCAGCUCCCCAGAUUGUAGGGUGGCUCCAUGAUCUGCUCCCACCGAGUACAAGAUAACUGUCCUAAUUUUUUUCUCUAGGAGGCCUAGGGAGCUCCUAUGAAUUUCAAAGACCUGAAACUCUCUCUCUCUCCAAAAUAACAGAGAAGAGGAAGAUAAACGAUAAUGGGAAAGAAAGAGAAACCCCAAAGACUAAAUAAAAGGCAAAUGGCCAGCUUACAAAGCCCAAAGCUACCUUUCUUUGCUGUGAAAAUCAGGUGUCUAUCACGACCCAGUUACACAGACAUUAGCAUAGUUCUGGCCAGCUCAUCCAAUGAAAACACCCAUGUCCCUGAAGUAUCCCACAUCUCCUCUCUCUCUCUCCAGAAAGUGCUGCGGUUCCCUGGUACUGUCCCAUAUGCCAAUACCUCCCUGAAGGCCAAACUGCCUCUGUCACACCUCCUUAGCCACUUUGUCCCAGCAUGCUUACCCCUAAUGCUUACAGUGCAGCUGGCAACGGAAUGAGAAAAAAAGUUGGAUCCUCUUCAGGAUUUUGAAUCAUUCCAGCUUUCCAUCAGACACACAUCUCUCAUAAUUUUUUUUUAAUUGAAUGAAUUAUCUGAAAUGUUUCCUACAGUAGAUUUCCAAGUUUAAAUAUUUUAAAAUUUACUAAACUUGUUUCUAUUUGAAGAACUGCAUCCUUGCAUUAUUAAAAUCUUCCUAUUUCUCUACUAAUUUCUCUUUAUUUUCUCAUUCAGGUCAUGGAUUUGGGAUUGUUUUCUUUACUUCUCUGAACAUUCUUUGUUUUAAAUCUGACUCAAAUUUAGAACUUAGGGAAAGAAACAUGAUUAUGAUAUGUGUUUCAUAUUCUGUGCAGCCCUUCUCAAAGUUUAUGAAAGAACUUGGUUAGUCAAAUCUUGGUAUUUGUCAGGAGUUAGCACACUAUUGAUCUGACUUAUGGCAGGUUCUGGAAGCUCAUUUAUAGGGAGGAAGAUUUGACCACUGUAUUUAUUCUCUAAGACCCCUCAUGAAAAGCUUUUAUCUGAAACAGUAAA